CCUACGGGGGGCAGCAGUGGGGAAUAUUGGACAAUGGGGGCAACCCUGAUCCAGCCAUGCCGCGUGUGUGAAGAAGGCCCUCGGGUUGUAAAGCACUUUCAGUGAGGAAGAACGCCUGGUGGUUAAUACCCAUCAGGAAAGACAUCACUCACAGAAGAAGCACCGGCUAACUCCGUGCCAGCAGCCGCGGUAAUACGGAGGGUGCGAGCGUUAAUCGGAAUUACUGGGCAUAAAGCGCGCGUAGGUGGCUUGAUAAGCCGGUUGUGAAAGCCCCGGGCUCAACCUGGGAACGGCAUCCGGAACUGUCAAGCUAGAGUGCAGGAGAGGAAGGUAGAAUUCCCGGUGUAGCGGUGAAAUGCGUAGAGAUCGGGAGGAAUACCAGUGGCGAAGGCGGCCUUCUGGACUGACACUGACACUGAGGUGCGAAAGCGUGGGUAGCAAACAGGAUUAGAUACCCCUGUAGUC
This 465-nucleotide ribosomal RNA is filed under the name Vreelandella stevensii. RNAcentral describes it as "partial 16S ribosomal RNA". It matches the Rfam family "Bacterial small subunit ribosomal RNA", at positions 338 to 795 of the family's 1533-position model. The record is from RNAcentral. Lineage: Bacteria; Pseudomonadati; Pseudomonadota; Gammaproteobacteria; Oceanospirillales; Halomonadaceae.